This 54-nucleotide unclassified non-coding RNA is filed under the name Brucella sp. 191011898. Its description in RNAcentral is "BASRCI408". The record is from RNAcentral. Lineage: Bacteria; Pseudomonadati; Pseudomonadota; Alphaproteobacteria; Hyphomicrobiales; Brucellaceae.
UUAGAGCGCAUCCCGAAAAGUGUGAAACGGUUUCGGAAAAAAUGCGCGUCAAAA